CCAAUAGCGUAUAUUAAAGUUGUUGCAGUUAAAAAGCUCGUAGUUGAAUUUCGGGGUUCUACCGUUGGUCAGGCUUUGUCUGUACUGGCGUGUAGAAUUUCUACCUUCUGGGGAACCAUCAUGUUAUUAAUUUAGUGUGAUGGGAAACCAGGACCUUUACCUUGAAAAAAUUAGAGUGUUCAAAGCAGGCUUAUGUCUGAAUACAUUAGCAUGGAAUAAUAGAAUAGGACGGUGGUCCUGUUUUGUUGGUUUCUGAAUCACCGUAAUGAUUAAUAGGGAUAGUUGGGGGCAUUAGUAUUCAAUUGUCAGAGGUGAAAUUCUUGGAUUUAUUGAAGACUAACUUCUGCGAAAGCAUUUGCCAAGGAUGUUUUCAUUAAUCAAGAACGAAAGUUAGGGGAUCGAAGACGAUCAGAUACCGUCGUAGUCUUAACCAUAAACUAUGCCGACUAGGGAUCGGACGAUGUUAACUUUUCUUGACUCGUUCGGCGCCUUACG
RNAcentral lists this ribosomal RNA (495 nucleotides) under uncultured Glomeromycotina. RNAcentral's name for it is "SSU rRNA". It matches the Rfam family "Eukaryotic small subunit ribosomal RNA", at positions 591 to 1092 of the family's 1831-position model. The record is from RNAcentral. Lineage: Eukaryota; Fungi; Glomeromycota. RNAcentral also lists the same sequence under 1 other name.